RNAcentral lists this ribosomal RNA (253 nucleotides) under uncultured bacterium. RNAcentral's name for it is "partial 16S ribosomal RNA". It matches the Rfam family "Bacterial small subunit ribosomal RNA", at positions 524 to 776 of the family's 1533-position model. The record is from RNAcentral.
UACAGAGGAUGCAAGCGUUGUCCGGAAUGAUUGGGCGUAAAGCGUCUGUAGGUGGCUUUUUAAGUCCGCCGUCAAAUCCCAGGGCUCAACCCUGGACAGGCGUUGGAAACUACCAAGCUGGAGUAAGGUAGGGGCAGAGGGAAUUUCCGGUGGAGCGGUGAAAUGCGUAGAUAUCGGAAAGAACACCAGCGGCGAAAGCGCUUUGCUGGGCCGACACUGACACUGAGAGACGAAAGCUAGGGGAGCGAAUGGG